UUAAGCGACUAAGCGUACACGGUGGAUGCCCUGGCAGUCAGAGGCGAUGAAGGACGUGCUAAUCUGCGAAAAGCGUCGGUAAGGUGAUAUGAACCGUUAUAACCGGCGAUGUCCGAAUGGGGAAACCCAGUGCAAUUCGUUGCACUAUCGUUAACUGAAUACAUAGGUUAACGAGGCGAACCGGGGGAACUGAAACAUCUAAGUACCCCGAGGAAAAGAAAUCAACCGAGAUUCCCCCAGUAGCGGCGAGCGAACGGGGAGCAGCCCAGAGUCUGAAUCAGCUUGUGUGUUAGUGGAACGGUCUGGAAAGUCCGACGGUACAGGGUGAUAGUCCCGUACACCAAAAUGCACAGGUUGUGAACUCGAAGAGUAGGGCGGGACACGUGGUAUCCUGUCUGAAUAUGGGGGGACCAUCCUCCAAGGCUAAAUACUCCUGACUGACCGAUAGUGAACCAGUACCGUGAGGGAAAGGCGAAAAGAACCCCGGCGAGGGGAGUGAAAAAGAACCUGAAACCGUGUACGUACAAGCAGUGGGAGCACCUUCGGGUGUGACUGCGUACCUUUUGUAUAAUGGGUCAGCGACUUAUAUUCUGUAGCAAGGUUAACCGUAUAGGGGAGCCGCAGGGAAACCGAGUCUUAACUGGGCGUUAAGUUGCAGGGUAUAGACCCGAAACCCGGUGAUCUAGCCAUGGGCAGGUUGAAGGUUGGGUAACACUAACUGGAGGACCGAACCGACUAAUGUUGAAAAAUUAGCGGAUGACUUGUGGCUGGGGGUGAAAGGCCAAUCAAACCGGGAGAUAGCUGGUUCUCCCCGAAAGCUAUUUAGGUAGCGCCUCGUGAACUCAUCUUCGGGGGUAGAGCACUGUUUCGGCUAGGGGGUCAUCCCGACUUACCAACCCGAUGCAAACUACGAAUACCGAAGAAUGUUAUCACGGGAGACACACGGCGGGUGCUAACGUCCGUCGUGAAGAGGGAAACAACCCAGACCGCCAGCUAAGGUCCCAAAGUCAUGGUUAAGUGGGAAACGAUGUGGGAAGGCACAGACAGCCAGGAUGUUGGCUUAGAAGCAGCCAUCAUUUAAAGAAAGCGUAAUAGCUCACUGGUCGAGUCGGCCUGCGCGGAAGAUGUAACGGGGCUAAACCAUGCACCGAAGCUGCGGCAGCGACACUAUGUGUUGUUGGGUAGGGGAGCGUUCUGUAAGCCUGCGAAGGUGUGCUGUGAGGCAUGCUGGAGGUAUCAGAAGUGCGAAUGCUGACAUAAGUAACGAUAAAGCGGGUGAAAAGCCCGCUCGCCGGAAGACCAAGGGUUCCUGUCCAACGUUAAUCGGGGCAGGGUGAGUCGACCCCUAAGGCGAGGCCGAAAGGCGUAGUCGAUGGGAAACAGGUUAAUAUUCCUGUACUUGGUGUUACUGCGAAGGGGGGACGGAGAAGGCUAUGUUAGCCGGGCGACGGUUGUCCCGGUUUAAGCAUGUAGGCUGGUUGUCCAGGCAAAUCCGGAUAAUCAAGGCUGAGGUGUGAUGACGAGGCACUACGGUGCUGAAGUAACAAAUGCCCUGCUUCCAGGAAAAGCCUCUAAGCAUCAGGUAACAUUAAAUCGUACCCCAAACCGACACAGGUGGUCAGGUAGAGAAUACCAAGGCGCUUGAGAGAACUCGGGUGAAGGAACUAGGCAAAAUGGUGCCGUAACUUCGGGAGAAGGCACGCUGGUGUGUAGGUGAAGUCCCUGCGGAUGGAGCUGAGACCAGUCGAAGAUACCAGCUGGCUGCAACUGUUUAUUAAAAACACAGCACUGUGCAAACACGAAAGUGGACGUAUACGGUGUGACGCCUGCCCGGUGCCGGAAGGUUAAUUGAUGGGGUUAUCCGUAAGGAGAAGCUCUUGAUCGAAGCCCCGGUAAACGGCGGCCGUAACUAUAACGGUCCUAAGGUAGCGAAAUUCCUUGUCGGGUAAGUUCCGACCUGCACGAAUGGCGUAAUGAUGGCCAGGCUGUCUCCACCCGAGACUCAGUGAAAUUGAACUCGCUGUGAAGAUGCAGUGUACCCGCGGCAAGACGGAAAGACCCCGUGAACCUUUACUAUAGCUUGACACUGAACAUUGAGCCUUGAUGUGUAGGAUAGGUGGGAGGCUUUGAAGCGUGGACGCCAGUCUGCGUGGAGCCAACCUUGAAAUACCACCCUUUAAUGUUUGAUGUUCUAACGUUGGCCCCUUACCGGGGUUGCGGACAGUGUCUGGUGGGUAGUUUGACUGGGGCGGUCUCCUCCCAAAGCGUAACGGAGGAGCACGAAGGUUAGCUAAUCCUGGUCGGACAUCAGGAGGUUAGUGCAAUGGCAUAAGCUAGCUUGACUGCGAGCGUGACGGCGCGAGCAGGUGCGAAAGCAGGUCAUAGUGAUCCGGUGGUUCUGAAUGGAAGGGCCAUCGCUCAACGGAUAAAAGGUACUCCGGGGAUAACAGGCUGAUACCGCCCAAGAGUUCAUAUCGACGGCGGUGUUUGGCACCUCGAUGUCGGCUCAUCACAUCCUGGGGCUGAAGUAGGUCCCAAGGGUAUGGCUGUUCGCCAUUUAAAGUGGUACGCGAGCUGGGUUUAGAACGUCGUGAGACAGUUCGGUCCCUAUCUGCCGUGGGCGCUGGAGAAUUGAGGGGGGCUGCUCCUAGUACGAGAGGACCGGAGUGGACGCAUCACUGGUGUUCGGGUUGUCAUGCCAAUGGCACUGCCCGGUAGCUAAAUGCGGAAGAGAUAAGUGCUGAAAGCAUCUAAGCACGAAACUUGCCCCGAGAUGAGUUCUCCCUGAGACUNCACUAUCGUUAACUGAAUACA
This 2814-nucleotide ribosomal RNA is filed under the name Klebsiella pneumoniae. Its description in RNAcentral is "bacterial LSU rRNA". It matches the Rfam family "Bacterial large subunit ribosomal RNA". The record is from RNAcentral. Lineage: Bacteria; Pseudomonadati; Pseudomonadota; Gammaproteobacteria; Enterobacterales; Enterobacteriaceae.